AAUGGUCGCACGUGUGCUUAAACCCUUUGAAAACCUUAGGGUAGAAAACAUGUUUAUAUCUGCCUGGGAAUUUUCCUGAUUGUUUUGCAGGUGAGGGUUUGGGUGCAUUGGAUUCUCCCUUCACAUACACACACUUUAUGCAUAUCAUGAGUGGGGCCCUAUACCCGGGUCUGAGUAUAGCUUAGAAAUAUAGGGGUUGUGUAGCGGUGCCACUUGGGAUAUUCUUCCUGUUUGGCUAUCGUGAGAACCCCAACUAGAGUCUGUUAUCUUCAUUUGUAUUUUCACACCUAGUUGAUUACUCGACUGUUGCGGAGAUGCUGUGGAGGGGACCAUAGCUCUAGUGACCUUUGAUCUUUAGGCUCAGGGAACCAUCCUUGUGAGAUUGCAUGUACUUGACCUUGAAUCCGAAGUAUUGAACCUUUUUUUUAGGGCACAAAGGGAGAUGUGUGCAGUCUUCUAACCCUCAUUUUCGCUUAAUAAAAUCACGCAUCUUUCAUAUAUCUUGAGUCACUUGUCUUUCUUGCAAAUCGUCAAAACUCUUGUUUUUCAAAAAUAAAAAAUGAUAAAUCAAAAACAAAAGUUGUAGUGUCAUACUUUUCCGAGGUCAAUUGUCUAAUAAAAAUAACAAUUUGAUGUUUCCCUUCUAGACAUUUGUGCACAUGUUGCUUGAAGACCUUCACCCUUCACUUUUCCAAAACAAAGGAUCUUUCCCAACAAACAUUGUCACUACCCUCAAUUACAAAGUAAACCUUUACACAGGGGUAGAUUGGCCUAACCAAAAGUUUUCUCGCUUGCGCUAGUAAGGUGAUCCCUGAAUCCAUUGGGACAAAAAAAAGAGGAAGAAAAAAACAAAGCAAGAAAAAAAUUCCACUAGAUUGAAAACCUGAAAGGGCUGUCUAGAAAGGAAAAAAAAAAUGAAUCAUGUUGAGGUCGUCUAGUCGCAGAAUUAAUCUUUUGAAAAUAAAGCAAUCAGAAUUUGAAAUGAUGUGUGGCCUUCUUUCUUUAUCCAAAAAGCAAAAAAUUAUAUCCAUUGUCACCCCGUUUGAGCCUAAAAUAAAUUCUUUUUCAAAAUUAUCCCAAGCAAGGGUUUCCAUCAGGUAGGAGUCAACUCAUGAUACAAAUGAAGAGCACUCAAUGAUUAAUCGAAGAGAAUUCAUCAAGAGUGAACAAAAAAUACACAAAAAACAAAAAAAAAAAUCAGAAAGUGAUGUUGAGAAAAAAACAAUGAAAAUCAAAGUUCAAGAAAAAACCAAAGUGCUCAAAAAGUCAAAAAGUUGAUGCAAUACUUAAAUGAUAACCCUUGUUUCAAAAAAUAUAACCAACAAACAUUCAUUUGGGCCUUUAUAUCCUUUUUUUAAAAUACCUUUUAGCCCUUAGCCACAUUACAAGCCUAAUAAAGUCCACGCAGAUUGAAUAAUGAUUGCUCAAAUUUUUAUAAAGCUUAAUUUUUCCAUAAGGCAAAAUGACUUUCAAUAUGUCGUAAAAAAAAAGAAAAGAAAAGAAUUUGAAAACGAAUGAAUAUAAAAAAAAAGGUAAUGUCUCAAGAAGAGGGGAUCUCCCUGUAACCUAGCCAGAAGCAUGCAAAAGAAAAUCAAACUAGUUGGGACCAUCCUUUUGGCCGAUCCUUGUCACGCCACUACCUCUUCCAAAUAGAACCCCGGGCCAAAGAAAACUGGGGCAACUUUGUGAACCUCACACGAGUCGUUCAUCAACCCAUACCACGAUAAAAAAAACUAGGGUAGCUUUGUGAGUCUCACACAAAUUUUUCAUCAAUCCAUAAUCCCAUUACCAGGGCAACUUUGCAAGUCUCACUUGAGUUUGUUUCACCCCAAUUUUCAUGGAUCCAAACCGAAGCUCAUUUUCCCAAACAAUUUUCUAGAACUAC
This 1885-nucleotide long non-coding RNA is filed under the name Vigna radiata. RNAcentral describes it as "long non-coding RNA (VRAD_LNC015204)". The record is from RNAcentral. Lineage: Eukaryota; Viridiplantae; Streptophyta; Magnoliopsida; Fabales; Fabaceae.